Molecule: long non-coding RNA, 942 nt
Organism: Patella vulgata (common limpet)
Lineage: Eukaryota; Metazoa; Mollusca; Gastropoda; Patellidae
Exons: 3
Source: RefSeq, a predicted model, not a curated record
CAGAAUUUGACUAUAACAGCUAUAUACAGCUAUAACAUCCGGGUAUACUGCAUGACGUAUAUAAACAAGGGCUGGACGUUAAAUAAACUACAUUAUAUUUCACACACACAUACGUGUAAAACAUUAUACAAGCUCCAGAUACUGGUCCAGAUACUGGAUUGAGAUACAUCGAAUAUAAUACUUUCAAGAUGGUUGUCAAAAUGAAAGUAGGAAUCUCUCUGCUGCUUAUUGGAUUUUUAAUUCUUGGAUUAUCUUCUGCAGACCACGACAAAGAGUCUCCUCUUAUUGACAGUAAACAGGCCAAAACCUUUCACCGUGUGAAAAGAAGUGGAUGGCUACGGCCUAAUGCUAAUGAACACCCUCGUGAGAUGGUGGAGCAGGCACGUGAGAUGAUGGAACAACGUCAUGAGAAUUGGUAUCGAAGAACAACUUACGCCAAUUGACCACCUUCUUGUUUCUCUGAAAUCAUGUUCUAAGGAAAUAUUCAACUGAUAUAUAUAUCACUUUCAACUGUUCAGUGUUUUAUGUUUUUGAACCUUAAAUAAACAUUAUAAUUAAUGUUAAAGGCUCAAUACCACUCUUGUUGUAACUGAAUAAUAUGUCCCAAUCUUUAUUCUGGUAAACAAAUUGUACUAUUUUACAAUAUUCCAAUUAAUUGAUGAUACAAAUUUCAUCUUAACACACCUAACUUAAAAAAUUGGAAAAAUUCAACUAAAUGAUUUGAAAAGCCUGACGUAAAGCUUUUCAAAUGUGACUUGGAUUUAAUGGAUAAUUUACACAACAGAUAAGACACUAAGACAUUUAGUACUUAGAAUAAGGCUAUUUUUUUUAUUUUUUGGAGCUGUCAAGCCAGCAAGAGUGUUAUUGUCCCUUUAAAUGAAUACAUAAAAAUGAUGAUUGAUAAUAAAUAAUAUAAAUAAUAUAAAUAAUAAAAAUAUGAAA